RNAcentral lists this ribosomal RNA (192 nucleotides) under uncultured bacterium. Its description in RNAcentral is "partial 16S ribosomal RNA". It matches the Rfam family "Bacterial small subunit ribosomal RNA", at positions 1311 to 1500 of the family's 1533-position model. The record is from RNAcentral.
CUCGCCUACAUGAAGUCGGAAUCGCUAGUAAUCGCGGAUCAGCAUGCCGCGGUGAAUACGUUCCCGGGCCUUGUACACACCGCCCGUCACACCAUGAGAGUUUGUAACACCCAAAGCCGGUGGGGGUUAACCUUUUGGAGCCAGCCGUCUAAGGUGGGACAGAUGAUUGGGGUGAAGUCGUAACAAGGUACC